This 253-nucleotide ribosomal RNA is filed under the name uncultured bacterium. Its description in RNAcentral is "partial 16S ribosomal RNA". It matches the Rfam family "Bacterial small subunit ribosomal RNA", at positions 524 to 776 of the family's 1533-position model. The record is from RNAcentral.
UACAGAGGAUGCAAGCGUUAUCCGGAAUGAUUGGGCGUAAAGCGUCUGUAGGUGGCUUUUUAAGUCCGCCGUCAAAUCCCAGGGCUCAACUCUGGACAGGCGGUGGAAACUACCAAGCUGGAGUACGGUAGGGGCAGAGGGAAUUUCCGGUGGAGCGGUGAAAUGCGUAGAGAUCGGCAGGAACACCCAGGGGGAAACCAGUCGACUGGGCAUCUACUGACGCUGAGGUGCGAGAGCGUGGGGAGCGAACCGG